Drosophila suzukii is the source of this 535-nucleotide long non-coding RNA. RefSeq lists it as uncharacterized. The record is from RefSeq and is a predicted model, not a curated record. NCBI's taxonomy places the organism in Eukaryota, Metazoa, Arthropoda, Insecta, Diptera, Drosophilidae.
ACCUCGAUCGAAAAAAUAUAUUUAUAUACCUACCUCCCCCGCGAAACCCCCUUGAAUAUCGCUCCGUUUAAGCAGGCCAUUAUCAUGCAAUUCAAAGCCACUCUAUGCCGCUUUCUAUGGGCUACCGACUAUCGGAUUUCUGUUUAUUAUUGUCUAUAUAAUAUAUAGAAACCCACGAGUCUACGGUUCUGUUUCAACUUUUGCCAGGUUUCCAUCAGUCAGUCGAUUGAUUGACAGCGAAAAACCCUCUUAUCUCUACUUUUUUCUCACAUUUAGUAACUUUCUUUCAAUGUAUGGUUUCCCCGCUUUGCCUUUAUCAUAGUUUUAUCUUGGAGACCGAAUACUCUUUUUAUACAAGGCCAUAUAAAGUAUUAUAUUUGGAAUUCUCCUGAAGUGAAUAACUAUUAUUCAAGAGAUUGCAAACCUUCGUUUGUUUAUUUUUAGAUUUUCCCUGUAUACAAUCGAUCGAUUAAUGGGGCGCUAUCUCAUGUUUAAAGAUGUCAUAAUAAAAGAUUACAUUGAACUAUUAUAACGA